AAUAAUAGACGUGUUAUCAGUGCAAGCAUUAUAUGAUCCAGGAACAGAAUGUAUACAGGAAAAGUGUUUGUUUUCUUUGUACUAUUUGCAACUGGAGUAGUAUCUACUCAGAUCAAUAUCUUACAGUGGCUGGAAUCUAAAUUUAAUAAAAACACAUCAAUGUUGAGGGAAAUAUUAACAAUUCUUUGAAAAGAGAACACGCCCCAUUUGAGAGAAGUUUCCUAUAGUAAGACCAGUUACCAAAGUUCAACUGCUGUAGACCAUGGUAAUCCAUAUUCAUCGAAUCUUGCUGUUGAUGGCAACAUGGAUACGUUCAUGCACACACAUACUGAAAAUUCACCAUACUGGGAGGUAGACCUUGGAAAGAAUUAUCAAAUCAAACGAGUUGAAAUAUAUAACAGAAGAAAUUGUUGUGGUGAACGACUUCAUGAUCUAGAUAUAUCUGUUGGACCUUCCCAUAACAUGAUGUCAUUGUGUAAACAUUAUACAGGACCAGCAAAAACAGGAGCUCAUCUUAUAUUUGAUUGCCACAGAACUAUAAAUGGUAGAUACGUCAAGCUGAUGAUAAAAGGAAAAGAAAUAUUAAACAUAGGGGAGGUCAAGGUGUAUGCUAUUGUAUAGAGAACGAGUAUCGAUAUAUAGAGGGUCUGGAUGGCGGUCGUUCAUUUCUUUAUUCUUAAAUUUGUAUGCCUUUUUCUCUAUUCUUCAUUGUAUUGGUCCAUUAUUUUCUAUUCUUCAUUACUUCAGCACCCCAGUAUUCUCUAUUCUUUAUUUAUUUGGCCUAAUUUUCUCUAUUCUUUAUAUUUUUUGGCCUUUAUUUUGCACUUUUUGCCCAUUAUUCUCUAUUCUGUAAAUUCCAGUCAGACCCUCAUAGUAAAAGUAACACAUAGCAUGAUGAUAAUUAUAAUUAGUUGUAAUUAAAAUUAGAUAAAUAAACGUUCAUGAUUUUA
This is a long non-coding RNA of Mytilus californianus (California mussel), 950 nucleotides long. RefSeq lists it as uncharacterized. The transcript is spliced from 3 exons. The record is from RefSeq and is a predicted model, not a curated record. Lineage: Eukaryota; Metazoa; Mollusca; Bivalvia; Mytilida; Mytilidae.